Molecule: ribosomal RNA, 490 nt
Filed under: uncultured bacterium
Lineage: Bacteria
Description: partial 16S ribosomal RNA
Rfam family: Bacterial small subunit ribosomal RNA
Source: RNAcentral
AUUGAACGCUGGCGGCAGGCCUAACACAUGCAAGUCGAACGGUAACAGGAAGCAGCUUGCUGCUUCGCUGACGAGUGGCGGACGGGUGAGUAAUGUCUGGGAAGCUGCCUGAUGGAGGGGGAUAACUACUGGAAACGGUAGCUAAUACCGCAUAAUGUCGCAAGACCAAAGAGGGGGACCUUCUGGCCUCUUGCCAUCGUAUGUGCCCAGAUGGGAUUAGCUUGUUGGUGGGGUAACGGCGCACCAAGGCGACGAUCCCUAGCUGGUCUGAGAGGAUGACCAGCCACACUGGAACUGAGACACGGUCCAGACUCCUACGGGAGGCAGCAGUGGGGAAUAUUGCACAAUGGGCGCAAGCCUGAUGCAGCCAUGCCGCGUGUAUGAAGAAGGCCUUCGGGUUGUAAAGUACUUUCAGCGGGGAGGAAGGGAGUAAAGUUAAUACCUUUGCUCAUUGACGUUACCCGCAGAAGAAGCACCGGCUAACUCCGUG